GUCAACUACUCACCCCUAAAGGGAUGAGCUUGUAAAAGCGCUUGUUGACCAGACCACUAACUGAGGAUUAGAAAUGUUAGUAAACGAUAAUUUAGAUGUAGAAACCUUGGAAUGCCGCCUCAGUUCCAAGCUCUUUCGUGGCACUGUAAACAGUCCUAUUGAGUUAGGGGCAGUCAACCACGUUGCGAAGCUAAAUUAUCUGGUCGAGAGGA
RNAcentral lists this non-coding RNA (212 nucleotides) under Pseudoalteromonas translucida TAC125. RNAcentral describes it as "Pseudoalteromonas haloplanktis TAC125 HNH endonuclease-associated RNA and ORF (HEARO) RNA". It matches the Rfam family "HNH endonuclease-associated RNA and ORF (HEARO) RNA". Lineage: Bacteria; Pseudomonadati; Pseudomonadota; Gammaproteobacteria; Alteromonadales; Pseudoalteromonadaceae. The record is from Rfam by way of RNAcentral.